This is a non-coding RNA of Saimiri boliviensis boliviensis (Bolivian squirrel monkey), 813 nucleotides long. Lineage: Eukaryota; Metazoa; Chordata; Mammalia; Primates; Cebidae. The record is from RefSeq and is a predicted model, not a curated record.
GGUGGGGGAGAAAAAAAAUAAUAACCCAGGAGGCGGUCACCGCUGCCACAGGUGCAGGCUGUUACCCUUGACAUGUGCAGCAGCCCCCCAAAGCCAUGGAGACCAGGUCAUCUGGAAUGUCCAUUUAUGUCAGUGGAAGAAAGAAAAAGGGGUCUCCUCGCAUCCUCACCACUGUGUUCUCCCAUCCACCCUGCUCCCGUCCCACUUCCUGCAACUCAAUUACUGACAGUUUAACAUUGAGUUUCUGGAAACUGUGCUGCCUCCUUGAUGGUCUAACUACUAGAGUUACUCCAAUAGCAGGAAUUUCAAGCCAGCAAACCAGACAUACAUAGGAGGCACAGCAAAAGAUCCAAGGCGAGGGGCUUUCCUCACCUUUACCCUUGUUCUCAUAUGGAGGUGGCGCGCGUCUAUGAGACACAGUACCCCACUCGGCGAUCCUCUGCGGUCCAGCAAAUUUCAUCACUUGUUUGGAAAACAAAUCAGUUAACCCUGCAAAACAGAACAGAGACAUUACGGAGACUUGAGGAUUGAUUUCUACAUUGAUUAUAAAGACUUUCACACUGGGUGCUCUUGCUUUCUUGCUCUGCGAGAAGCCAGUUGGCUUCCUGUGAGCUGCCUAUGGAGAAACGCACAUGGCAAGGAACUGAGGGUUGCCUCCAGCAAAUAGAUGGCGAGGAGGUGAAGCCUUCAGUCCAACAGCCUUUAAGGAACUGAAUUCUGCCAACAACCAUGUGAGCAGGCUUGGAGACGGAUGCUACCACCAUCAAGCCUUCAAGAGUGAAUUCUUUUUUCUUGAGACAGAGUCUCACCCUG